GUGGGACUUGCAGUCUCCGGUUCACAGAGUAACAUUGUUGCUUGCUGGCUUCUAUGGGAAAUGUAGGCAUUGACAAUGUUGUGUUAGGUAUAGGCCCGUCGUCCGUCACCAAUCAACCCGGUCCUCUCGCUUGCAUUGGUUGGCUGCUGUAUUAUGGGGAUGUCGUCAGCGUCUGGAGAGGGUCUUCAGGGGACACGUAGGUGUCGGGGUCCUCCUCUCCAGGAGUUUUGGGUUUACACUUCCCACAGCAGCAGUUGAAACAGCAGCACAGGCAGCAGCAGAAGUAGCAGCCUGUUAGCACGCCGCAGACCGCAAACAGACCCUGUGUGGAGGAUGGACAUAGACCGUUCACUAUUAACACAUGAACAUAGACUUUCCUUUUUCACACACACAUAAACACACACACUCAUGCACACGCACACACACACAAACCCACCUUUGCCCACCAACUGGAGAGCAUGAAAUAAGCAUUGACGUUCUCCUCUCCAAACUGCUGUGCCACGUACAGACCGAGGGAGCCAUAGCUGUCGUAGAUGUUCCUCUUGGAGGCAUCUGACAGCACGGAGUGGGCAUUGUUGAGCUCCUUGAAUUUAUCUGUGGCGUUUGGGUUCUCUGGGUUCUUGUCUGGAUGAUAUUUCAAAGCAAGUUUUCUAAAUAGUAAAAAAUAUUACAAAAUUGAAAAGAUGAUGCAAUCCGAAAGGCUUAGCUAACGGAAAUGUUGUUUGCAUUGUUACUGUCUUGUUAUUUUAUGGUCUUUAUCUAAUGUGUUCAGUAAGAGGCAGCAGUAUUAUCUCCCAUUAGGUGGGGUUAGAAGCCUGCUCCCUCACGCCCAUCAACACACACACCUGCCAGGCAUUGGUAUAUUAGUUCAAUGAGCCCAAAAUAGUUGUAAUAGCAUGUAUAGUACAAUUACAGAUCUUAGGACAGGCUCGAGAAUAUGUAAAUAUGUAACCUAUGGUAUAUAACUGAAACACUGAGCUAAAUGCUGGUGCCCAGUACUAUACAUGGUGCACCAGUUUGCCAUUUUGGAUUCAACUGCAGUUGUUUGUUUUCUGGCAUUAGGUCCAUUGGAACCCUUGGUUGACAGACACCAUGAAAUAAAUAUAACUACAGUCACUUUUACAUAUUUUCUUUUUCUUCUCAUUGUCUUUUUAUGCUGUAAAUUAUAA
This is a long non-coding RNA of Oncorhynchus gorbuscha (pink salmon), 1169 nucleotides long. RefSeq lists it as uncharacterized. The transcript is spliced from 3 exons. The record is from RefSeq and is a predicted model, not a curated record. NCBI's taxonomy places the organism in Eukaryota, Metazoa, Chordata, Actinopteri, Salmoniformes, Salmonidae.